GGGCUAGUGGCGCAAUGGAUAACGCGUCUGACUACGAAUCAGGAGAUUCCUGGUUCGACUCCUGGCUAGCUCG
Non-coding RNA from Gasterosteus aculeatus (three-spined stickleback), 73 nucleotides. Lineage: Eukaryota; Metazoa; Chordata; Actinopteri; Perciformes; Gasterosteidae. The record is from Rfam.